Molecule: transfer RNA, 89 nt
Filed under: Dehalococcoidia bacterium
Lineage: Bacteria; Bacillati; Chloroflexota; Dehalococcoidia
Description: tRNA-Leu
Rfam family: tRNA
About the family: Transfer RNA (tRNA) molecules are approximately 80 nucleotides in length. Their secondary structure includes four short double-helical elements and three loops (D, anti-codon, and T loops).
Source: RNAcentral
GCCGAAGUGGCGGAAUUGGCAGACGCGGCAGACUCAAAAUCUGCUGGGGGGCAACCCCCGUGCCGGUUCGAGUCCGGCCUUCGGCACCA